Molecule: non-coding RNA, 71 nt
Organism: Podarcis lilfordi (Lilford's wall lizard)
Lineage: Eukaryota; Metazoa; Chordata; Lepidosauria; Squamata; Lacertidae
Source: the annotation of a GenBank genome assembly
GCUGUAGCUCAGUAGCAGAUCAUCUGCUUUGCAUGCAAAAGGUCAUGGGUUUGAACCCCAGCACAUCUCCA